CUUAACUGAUGUGACCAGUUUGUGACAAGUCUCGAAGCUUCCCAAAGUCUCCAGUCCGCAUAAACUGAAGAAUACAGCUUCUUCAUUCUCUUCGUUUGCUCUUAGCUCGACACACUGUAUUUGCAGGAUUGCUCUGAUUUUCUCAGUGUACAUGCGUGUAACUGCUGCGCUUUUGCCUGUAAAAUUCCAGUUGAAAUUGAAACAAGUGUACCCGAUCAGUGGAUCAUGGGGUAGAGUGGGCACGAUAGCUCCACAGAAACAAGUUAAUGAUUCUACAGAAGGAAGGCCAAUCACAAAGGAGAAUGCGGAGCCUACUGUAGCCUUCAGCAAGCCUCCAACAAUGCCACCCGUUAUCGGCCCAUUGGUUGCUCUCUCGUUGCUUGAAUCUUGGUGGAGCCGGGAUGGGGAUGAUGAUUAAUUGAUCAUAAGUGUGAAGCUUUUAAGCCAUAGCUUGUGUAAGUAGUCUCUUGACUCUCUACUUGAGAAACAUCUUUAGAAUGUUUAUUAGCAUAUGCUAAGUGCUAAGCAACGUAAUUGAAAGUUCCAUAUGUUGUCGUUGCCUGUCACGAUUGGAUUGAUAAAAGCCGCCAAAAAUGUAGUGUAAAUCUUUACUAUGUAUUGUAUUAUUACUUGAGGACUCUCUAGCAAUCCUGCUGAGUAGAACCAGUAAGCUAGUUCAAUUUGAUGCUAUGGGUUAUGUAUAAAAUUGUGAAUUUUUCUUUUCUGAAAUGUAAAUGACUUGAGUUUGAAUCUUAAAUUCAGUAGUUUUGGGGAAAACAUCAAACAGUGAAA
This is a long non-coding RNA of Mangifera indica (mango), 792 nucleotides long. RefSeq lists it as uncharacterized. The transcript has 3 exons. The record is from RefSeq and is a predicted model, not a curated record. Lineage: Eukaryota; Viridiplantae; Streptophyta; Magnoliopsida; Sapindales; Anacardiaceae.